AAGAUCAAUCUUUCCUUGCUUAA
Molecule: small nuclear RNA, 23 nt
Filed under: Arabidopsis thaliana (thale cress)
Lineage: Eukaryota; Viridiplantae; Streptophyta; Magnoliopsida; Brassicales; Brassicaceae
Description: snRNA_06109
Source: RNAcentral